CCAGGACAAAACCGGCUUCGGAUGGGAUUGCUUCUCCUCGGGCCUGUUGGAGGGGGCCAGUGGCCACCGGAUGUAGACGGCUUGGCUCGGCUCUUCGCGCCGUGCUCGGCUCUUUGCACCAUGCUCAGCACUGAACGCAGUUAACUAUAUUUAAGGCAGACUUUCCGGGAACAUUCCAGCACGCUCUUCAUUCUUCAUUCCUCUUCCUUCUUCAUUCAGCGCCUCAUCUUCGUUCAGUACCUCAUCAGCCCUCUCGACGCGAAGCCGAACCCCAGAUGAGGAAACUGAGGUUCACUGAGGUUACGCGACUUGCACAAGGGCCCGACGUGAGUCAGUUUCAGGACUAGCACCAAGAACCUCUGGCUCCCGGUCUCAGGUUAUGAAACUCUAUUUGGUUCUUUCUUUCCA
This is a long non-coding RNA of Ornithorhynchus anatinus (platypus), 408 nucleotides long. RefSeq lists it as uncharacterized. The transcript is spliced from 4 exons. The record is from RefSeq and is a predicted model, not a curated record. NCBI's taxonomy places the organism in Eukaryota, Metazoa, Chordata, Mammalia, Monotremata, Ornithorhynchidae.